RNAcentral lists this ribosomal RNA (406 nucleotides) under uncultured bacterium. Its description in RNAcentral is "partial 16S ribosomal RNA". It matches the Rfam family "Bacterial small subunit ribosomal RNA", at positions 30 to 526 of the family's 1533-position model. The record is from RNAcentral.
AUUGAACGCUGGCGGCAGGCCUAACACAUGCAAGUCGAACGAGUGGCGGAAGGGAGAGCAAUGUCUGGGACACGGAGUGAUGGAGGGGGUUCGCUACUGGAAACGGUAGCUAAUAACGCAUACAUUCGGAUGUGCCCAGUUGGGAUUAGCUAGUAGGUGGGGGAAAGGCUCACCUCGGCGACGAUCCCUAGCUGGUCUGAGAGGAUGACCAGCCACACUGGAACUGAGACACGGUCCAGACUCCUACGGGAGGCAGCAGUGGGGAAUAUUGCACAAUGGGCGCAAGCCUGAUUCAGCCAUGCCGCGUGUAUGAAGAAGGCCUUCGGGUUGUAAAGUACUUUCAGCGGGGAGGCGUUACCCGCAGAAGAAGCACCGGCUAACUCCGUGCCAGCAGCCGCGGUAAUUC